This 253-nucleotide ribosomal RNA is filed under the name uncultured bacterium. Its description in RNAcentral is "partial 16S ribosomal RNA". It matches the Rfam family "Bacterial small subunit ribosomal RNA", at positions 524 to 776 of the family's 1533-position model. The record is from RNAcentral.
UACGAAGGGGGCUAGCGUUGCUCGGAAUGACUGGGCGUAAAGGGCGCGUAGGCGGAUGGCACAGUCAGAUGUGAAAUUCCUGGGCUUAACCUGGGGGCUGCAUUUGAUACGUGUUGUCUUGAGUGAGGAAGAGGGUCGUGGAAUUCCCAGUGUAGAGGUGAAAUUCGUAGAUAUUGGGAAGAACACCGGUGGCGAAGGCGGCGACCUGGUCCUUAACUGACGCUGAGGCACGAAAGCGUGGGUAGCAAACAGG